GAUGAACGCUGGCGGCGUGCCUAAUACAUGCAAGUCGAGCGAACAGACGAGGAGCUUGCUCCUCUGACGUUAGCGGCGGACGGGUGAGUAACACGUGGAUAACCUACCUAUAAGACUGGGAUAACUUCGGGAAACCGGAGCUAAUACCGUAUAAUAUAUUGCACCGCAUGGUUCAAUAGUGAAAGACGGUUUUGCUGUCACUUAUAGCUGGAUCCGCGCCGCAUUAGCUAGUUGGUAAGGUAACGGCUUACCAAGGCAACGAUGCGUAGCCGACCUGAGAGGGUGAUCGGCCACACUGGAACUGAGACACGGUCCAGACUCCUACGGGAGGCAGCAGUAGGGAAUCUUACGCAAUGGGCGAAAGCCUGACGGAGCAACGCAGCGUGAGUGAUGAAGGUCUUCGGAUCGUAAAACUCUGUUAUUAGGGAAGAACAAAUGUGUAAGUAACUAUGCACGUCUUGACGGUACCUAAUCAGAAAGCCACGGCUAACUACGUG
Molecule: ribosomal RNA, 497 nt
Filed under: uncultured bacterium
Lineage: Bacteria
Description: partial 16S ribosomal RNA
Rfam family: Bacterial small subunit ribosomal RNA
Source: RNAcentral